GAUGAACGCUGGCGGCGUGCCUAAUACAUGCAAGUCGAGCGAACGGACGAGAAGCUUGCUUCUCUGAUGUUAGCGGCGGACGGGUGAGUAACACGUGGAUAACCUACCUAUAAGACUGGGAUAACUUCGGGAAACCGGAGCUAAUACCGGAUAAUAUUUUGAACCGCAUGGUUCAAAAGUGAAAGACGGUCUUGCUGUCACUUAUAGAUGGAUCCGCGCUGCAUUAGCUAGUUGGUAAGGUAACGGCUUACCAAGGCAACGAUGCAUAGCCGACCUGAGAGGGUGAUCGGCCACACUGGAACUGAGACACGGUCCAGACUCCUACGGGAGGCAGCAGUAGGGAAUCUUCCGCAAUGGGCGAAAGCCUGACGGAGCAACGCCGCGUGAGUGAUGAAGGUCUUCGGAUCGUAAAACUCUGUUAUUAGGGAAGAACAUAUGUGUAAGUAACUGUGCACAUCUUGACGGUACCUAAUCAGAAAGCCACGGCUAACUACGUGCCAGCAGCCGCGGUAAUACGUAGGUGGCAAGCGUUAUCCGGAAUCAUUGGGCGUAAAGCGCGCGUAGGCGGUUUUUUAAGUCUGAUGUGAAAGCCCACGGCUCAACCGUGGAGGGUCAUUGGAAACUGGAAAACUUGAGUGCAGAAGAGGAAAGUGGAAUUCCAUGUGUAGCGGUGAAAUGCGCAGAGAUAUGGAGGAACACCAGUGGCGAAGGCGACUUUCUGGUCUGUAACUGACGCUGAUGUGCGAAAGCGUGGGGAUCAAACAGGAUUAGAUACCCUGGUAGUCCACGCCGUAAACGAUGAGUGCUAAGUGUUAGGGGGUUUCCGCCCCUUAGUGCUGCAGCUAACGCAUUAAGCACUCCGCCUGGGGAGUACGACCGCAAGGUUGAAACUCAAAGGAAUUGACGGGGACCCGCACAAGCGGUGGAGCAUGUGGUUUAAUUCGAAGCAACGCGAAGAACCUUACCAAAUCUUGACAUCCUUUGACAACUCCAGAGAUAGAGCCUUCCCCUUCGGGGGACAAAGUGACAGGUGGUGCAUGGUUGUCGUCAGCUCGUGUCGUGAGAUGUUGGGUUAAGUCCCGCAACGAGCGCAACCCUUAAGCUUAGUUGCCAUCAUUAAGUUGGGCACUCUAAGUUGACUGCCGGUGACAAACCGGAGGAAGGUGGGGAUGACGUCAAAUCAUCAUGCCCCUUAUGAUUUGGGCUACACACGUGCUACAAUGGACAAUACAAAGGGCAGCGAAACCGCGAGGUCAAGCAAAUCCCAUAAAGUUGUUCUCACUUCGGAUUGUAGUCUGCAACUCGACUACAUGAAGCUGGAAUCGCUAGUAAUCGUAGAUCAGCAUGCUACGGUGAAUACGUUCCCGGGUCU
RNAcentral lists this ribosomal RNA (1372 nucleotides) under uncultured bacterium. RNAcentral's name for it is "bacterial SSU rRNA". It matches the Rfam family "Bacterial small subunit ribosomal RNA", at positions 28 to 1381 of the family's 1533-position model. The record is from RNAcentral.